CCGGUGAAGCGCUCGGAUCGCGGCGACGAGGGCGGUCCCCCGCCCGCGACGUCGCGAGAAGUCCGUUGAACCUUAUCAUUUAGAGGAAGGAGAAGUCGUAACAAGGUUUCCGUAGGUGAA
RNAcentral lists this ribosomal RNA (120 nucleotides) under Lemna minuta. Its description in RNAcentral is "partial 18S ribosomal RNA". It matches the Rfam family "Eukaryotic small subunit ribosomal RNA", at positions 1698 to 1813 of the family's 1831-position model. Lineage: Eukaryota; Viridiplantae; Streptophyta; Magnoliopsida; Alismatales; Araceae. The record is from RNAcentral.